Molecule: non-coding RNA, 143 nt
Filed under: Mus musculus (house mouse)
Lineage: Eukaryota; Metazoa; Chordata; Mammalia; Rodentia; Muridae
Description: Eukaryotic large subunit ribosomal RNA
Rfam family: Eukaryotic large subunit ribosomal RNA
Source: Rfam by way of RNAcentral
GACCUGAAAGAUGGUGAACUCUGCCUGGGCAGGGCAAAGCUAGAGGAAACUCUGGUGGAGGUCUCUGUUGGUUCUGAUAUGCAAAUUGGCCAUCCACCCCUGGCUAUAGGAGUGAAAGACAAAUCAAACCAUCUAGUAGCUGG